This is a transfer RNA of Cavia porcellus (domestic guinea pig), 64 nucleotides long. It matches the Rfam family "tRNA". From Rfam's summary of the family: Transfer RNA (tRNA) molecules are approximately 80 nucleotides in length. Their secondary structure includes four short double-helical elements and three loops (D, anti-codon, and T loops). The record is from Rfam. NCBI's taxonomy places the organism in Eukaryota, Metazoa, Chordata, Mammalia, Rodentia, Caviidae.
GGGGAUUUAGCUCAGCGGCAUAAGCGCCUGCCUUGUAAGCAAGUAGUCGUGAGUUCAAUCCCCG